UUCUAACUUAGAAGCUUUAUGCUUGUCCUCUGCCAUAUAUAGCUUCUGAAAGUGAAGGCUGAGGUUGGUGAAGCUUCCAAAAAUCCUCAAGACUUGCUUUUGGAAGCGAUUCAUUCUGCUGGAUAUUCUGGUGCCUUGGCAAAUCCUCUUUUAGCUUCAGAAUUGGCACUUAACGGACUAAAUGAUUCAGUUCUGGAGGAAUUUGUUGCCGAAAACUAUACGGCACCUCGGAUAGUACUUGCUGCUUCUGGUGUUGAGCAUGAGGAAUUGUUAUCUAUUGCAAAACCGCUUUUGUCUGACCUACCUAAUGUCCCACGUCCAGAGGAGCCCAAAUCUGUAUAUACUAUGGGUGAUUAUAGAUGCCACACUGAAUCAGGAAGGACCCACUUUGCUCUCGCAUUUGAACUUCCUGGUGGCUGGCAUAAGUUGAAGGAUGCUAUGGUCUUAACUGUUCUUCAG
Molecule: long non-coding RNA, 459 nt
Organism: Arachis duranensis
Lineage: Eukaryota; Viridiplantae; Streptophyta; Magnoliopsida; Fabales; Fabaceae
Exons: 3
Source: RefSeq, a predicted model, not a curated record